This 429-nucleotide ribosomal RNA is filed under the name Chloroflexota bacterium. Its description in RNAcentral is "Chloroflexi bacterium partial 16S ribosomal RNA". It matches the Rfam family "Bacterial small subunit ribosomal RNA", at positions 355 to 776 of the family's 1533-position model. Lineage: Bacteria; Bacillati; Chloroflexota. The record is from RNAcentral.
UGGGGAAUAUUGCACAAUGGGCGCAAGCCUGAUGCAGCCAUGCCGCGUGUGUGAAGAAGGCCUUCGGGUUGUAAAGCACUUUCAGCGGGGAGGAAGGCGAUAAGGUUAAUAACCUUGUCGAUUGACGUUACCCGCAGAAGAAGCACCGGCUAACUCCGUGCCAGCAGCCGCGGUAAUACGGAGGGUGCAAGCGUUAAUCGGAAUUACUGGGCGUAAAGCGCACGCGGGCGGUCUGUCAAGUCGGAUGUGAAAUCCCCGGGCUUAACCUGGGAACUGCAUUCGAAACUGGCAGGCUAGAGUCUUGUAGAGGGGGGUAGAAUUCCAGGUGUAGCGGUGAAAUGCGUAGAGAUCUGGAGGAAUACCGGUGGCGAAGGCGGCCCCCUGGACAAAGACUGACGCUCAGGUGCGAAAGCGUGGGGAGCAAACAGG